Molecule: ribosomal RNA, 119 nt
Filed under: Pteropus alecto (black flying fox)
Lineage: Eukaryota; Metazoa; Chordata; Mammalia; Chiroptera; Pteropodidae
Source: RNAcentral
GUCUAUGGCUAAGCCACCUUGAACAAGCCCGAUCCCAUCUGAUCUCAGAAGCUGAGCAGGGUCGGGCCUACUUAGUACUUGGAUGGGAGACCACCUAGGAAGACCAGGUAAUUUAGGCA